RNAcentral lists this ribosomal RNA (320 nucleotides) under uncultured eukaryote. Its description in RNAcentral is "partial 18S ribosomal RNA". It matches the Rfam family "Eukaryotic small subunit ribosomal RNA", at positions 1470 to 1796 of the family's 1831-position model. The record is from RNAcentral.
CCCCUAGAUGUUCUGGGCCGCACGCGCGCUACACUGAACAGUUCAACAAGUCUUAACCUUGGCCGAUAGGUCUGGGUAAUCUUUGAACGCUGUUCGUGAUUGGGAUAGACCUUUGCAAUUAUGGGUCUUCAACGAGGAAUUCCUAGUAAACGCAAGUCAUCAGCUCGCAUUGAUUACGUCCCUGCCCUUUGUACACACCGCCCGUCGCACCUACCGAUUGAAUGGUCCGGUGAAAUCUCGGGACGGCGGCUUGGUCGCUUGCGUCCGACUGCUGAAACUUGAUUAAACCAUAUCAUUUAGAGGAAGGUGAANUCGUAACA